Drosophila rhopaloa is the source of this 1357-nucleotide long non-coding RNA. RefSeq lists it as uncharacterized. The record is from RefSeq and is a predicted model, not a curated record. Lineage: Eukaryota; Metazoa; Arthropoda; Insecta; Diptera; Drosophilidae. The transcript has 3 exons.
GUAAUUGUUUUGUCUUCGCAGGUGAACGAAAAGUACAGCAACCCACGCAAUUUACAAAUAAUUAAAUUUCAGCUUAUUAAGGCUUUUAAAAGUGUUAAAAAAGUGAUAUUCAAUAAAAUAAGAAGUGAUUACAGAGGUGUUGAACAACUUUCGUGCUGUAUAUAGCGUUUCAGCCCCUAAAUUAACAAAUUUCUGCCAAGGGUGCUCCAAAUGUAAAACAUACAUAUAUACGUAUGUGUGUGAUUUACGUGCUCCCAAAAAUACAUAUAUACAUCAAAGUGUAAUCUGCAUGUGCAAUGGGCAUGAAUGUACAUAAUUUACUGUUCCUUUCCUUUUUCGUUGAUUAAAAAUAUAAAAUAAGCUUAAUAAUAAUAUGAUUAAUAUAAAUUAAAAUAUGUCGGAAGCAGGAAAAAAUCAGACUAAUACCAAGGGCUAAACAAAAUAAAAUGUUAAGAAGCUUCAACAAAUUGAAAAUAUCUACCAAGUACAGAGAACUACCGAUCAUUUUUCCCCCAUUGAUCAUCGCUGACUCAAUGAUCUCUCGCCCACCUAUGACAUUGAAAACGCAUAUUGGCCAGGCUAAUAUAAAACAUGCAACUGUAACAAAAGCCCAGGAAAGUGGAAGGUGGCUCGAAGCUCUUACAUAAAUAUGGCAAUUGGCUAAUUAGAAUUACAAAGAAGGCAAUUGAAAAAGCGCCACAACAGCGACUGCGACACCAGAAACUUGGCAGCGGGAACUGUCAGUCGCACAGCAAGAAAACAGAAAACAGAAAGAUAAUAAAUAAAUGUAUAGAUAAAUAGAGAAUAAAUAAAUGCCGAUUGGAAAAACGCGGCACGCAUGCGCAAUGAGGAUCGCACGUGGAGUGGAGUUAGCUGUUGGCUGAAAGUGGGCGGAAAAGGGGCGGAAAAGGGGGCGCAAGGCGACUUUGUUACGAAAAGUGUCGCAAAACGCGCCAAAUGAUAAAUGAUAUGGCGGCAUGCAGCGACUAACAAUCAAAGAUGAGGAAGCGCAUCUCCAGAGAUCUCGAGAAGAUGGCAUCUUGACAAAUAAGGGUUGCACUUCCAGCAAGAUUGGUUGCCUGUUUCAUAACCAGCGAACUUCACAAUCCGACAUGAGGGACCAGAUAAUCCAGCAUUCGAGCCGCUGCAAUCCGAUUGAAUGAAGAAGGCUGAAGCGAGGACACACAAGCGAUCUCUGGACAAGAGGCCGUCAAAGAGCUCCCUUUCUAAAUCAAUUAGUUCUAUUAUGAAUUUUUCUAGCAAUUCUAGCAAUUGUUAAUUAGACUUUUAAGAAUUAUAUUAGGCGUUUUGUAAAUAAAUACCGUUAAUAAAGUAUAAAAUACUUCUGGGAAACGAC